GCCGGUGACUAUAGCGGAGGAGCCACACCUGUUCCCAUCUCGAACACAGCAGUUAAGUCCUCUUGCGCCGAUGAUACUUGGCGGGCGACCGCCCGGAAAAGCAGGUCGUUGCCGGCU
Molecule: ribosomal RNA, 117 nt
Filed under: Eubacteriales Family XIII. Incertae Sedis bacterium
Lineage: Bacteria; Bacillati; Bacillota; Clostridia; Peptostreptococcales; Anaerovoracaceae
Source: RNAcentral